ACGUAGGGUGCAAGCGUUAAUCGGAAUUACUGGGCGUAAAGCGUGCGCAGGCGGUUCGGAAAGAGAGGUGUGAAAUCCCAGGGCUUAACCUUGGAACUGCACUUUUAACUACCGGGCUAGAGUACGUCAGAGGGGGGUAGAAUUCCACGUGUAGCAGUGAAAUGCGUAGAGAUGUGGAGGAAUACCGAUGGCGAAGGCAGCCCCCUGGGAUGAUACUGACGCUCAUGCACGAAAGCGUGGGGAGCAAACAGGA
RNAcentral lists this ribosomal RNA (253 nucleotides) under uncultured prokaryote. RNAcentral describes it as "partial 16S ribosomal RNA". It matches the Rfam family "Bacterial small subunit ribosomal RNA", at positions 525 to 777 of the family's 1533-position model. The record is from RNAcentral.